GCCGGGUGUGGUGGCGCGUGCCUGUAGUCCCAGCUACAUGGGAGGCUGAGGUGGGAGGAUCACUUCAGCCCAGAAGUUCUGGGCUGUAGUGCAUUAUGCUGAUCGGGUGUCUGCACUAAGUUUGGCAUCAAUAUGGUGACCUCCUGGGAACGGGGGAUCACCAGGCUGCCUAAGGAGAGGUGAACUGGCCCAGGUCGGAAAUGGAGCAGGUCAACGCUCCCAUGCUGAUCACACCUGUGACUAGCCACUGCACUCCAGCCUGGGCAACAUAGCGAGGCCAUGCCUCU
This 287-nucleotide signal recognition particle RNA is filed under the name Cebus imitator (Panamanian white-faced capuchin). RNAcentral's name for it is "Metazoan signal recognition particle RNA (ENSCCAG00000007897.1)". It matches the Rfam family "Metazoan signal recognition particle RNA". From Rfam's summary of the family: The signal recognition particle (SRP) is a universally conserved ribonucleoprotein. It is involved in the co-translational targeting of proteins to membranes. The record is from RNAcentral. Lineage: Eukaryota; Metazoa; Chordata; Mammalia; Primates; Cebidae.